AAAUCACAGGAUCCACUACGUGUGGUGAAUGUUAUAACGUAAGGGAAAAAAAUGAUUUUACCUUACUAUUAGUGUUGUCCAAAACUGGGGCCAGAAGACUCGGUAAGGCCAGAGACGCAAACGUUAGUCGUCCUAAUCAGGCGUAAAGGGUAUGUAGGCUGCUUUAAAAGUUUUAUAUUUAAUAGCUCUGUUUAAUCUUUAAAAAUUAAAAAUUAAACAGUAAAUAUACAAUUAAUUAAAGCUAGGAUCAAAUUGAGGAUAAGUUAAAUAAUACUUAGUGUAGGGUUUGAAUCUGGUGAUACUAGGGGGAAUACUAACGGUGAAAGCUUUUUAUCUAGAAAUGAUUGACGCUGAGAAACGAAGGUGAGAGUAGGAAAUAGGAUUAGAUACCCAGAUACCUCUCACAGUCAACGAUGAAUGGUGGUUGUUAGUUACUU
Molecule: ribosomal RNA, 437 nt
Filed under: Nolanea strictior
Lineage: Eukaryota; Fungi; Basidiomycota; Agaricomycetes; Agaricales; Entolomataceae
Description: bacterial SSU rRNA
Rfam family: Bacterial small subunit ribosomal RNA
Source: RNAcentral